CAAGACUGCGAAGUGGAGCAAAUCCCUAAAAGCCAUCUCAGUUCGGAUUGCAGGCUGCAACUCGCCUGCAUGAAGCUGGAAUUGCUAGUACUCGCGGAUCAGCAAGCCGCGGUGAAUACGUUCCCGGGCCUUGUACACACCGCCCGUCACACCAUGAGAGUCGGGAACACCCGAAGUCCGUAGUCUAACCGCAAGGGGGGCGCGGCCGAAGGUGGGUCCGGUAAUUGGGGUGAAGUCGUAACAAGGUAUC
This 250-nucleotide ribosomal RNA is filed under the name uncultured bacterium. Its description in RNAcentral is "partial 16S ribosomal RNA". It matches the Rfam family "Bacterial small subunit ribosomal RNA", at positions 1250 to 1500 of the family's 1533-position model. The record is from RNAcentral.